UACAGAGGUCUCAAGCGUUGUUCGGAUUUAUUGGGCGUAAAGAGCUCGUAGGCGGCUUGUCGCGUCGUCCGUGAAAACCUGCAGCUCAACUGCAGGCUUGCGGGCGAUACGGGCAGGCUAGAGUUCGGUAGGGGAGACUGGAAUUCAUGGUGUAGCAGUGAAAUGCGUAGAGAUCAUGAGGAAGACCAGUGGCGAAGGCGGGUCUCUGGACAGUUCCUGACACUGAGACACGAAGGCCAGGGGAGCAAACGGG
RNAcentral lists this ribosomal RNA (253 nucleotides) under uncultured bacterium. RNAcentral's name for it is "partial 16S ribosomal RNA". It matches the Rfam family "Bacterial small subunit ribosomal RNA", at positions 524 to 776 of the family's 1533-position model. The record is from RNAcentral.